UACAGAGGGUGCGAGCGUUAUUCGGAAUUACUGGGCGUAAAGCGUGCGUAGACGGUUAUUUAAGUCGGAUGUGAAAGCCCCGGGCUCAACCUGGGAAUUGCAUUCGAGACUGAAUAGCUAGGGUGCGGUAGAGGGAAGCGGAAUUUCCGGUGUAGCGGUGAAAUGCGUAGAUAUCGGAAGGAACACCAGUGGCGAAAGCGGCUUCCUGGACCAGCACUGACGUUCAGGCACGAAAGCGUGGGGAGCAAACAGG
RNAcentral lists this ribosomal RNA (253 nucleotides) under uncultured bacterium. RNAcentral's name for it is "partial 16S ribosomal RNA". It matches the Rfam family "Bacterial small subunit ribosomal RNA", at positions 524 to 776 of the family's 1533-position model. The record is from RNAcentral.